AACCUCCAAGGAUACUCAUCUACUAACAAGUUUCCUUGAGUUAGCUGCAUAAAUUCCAACUCCUUAUGAUGUUGAAGUUGUGAAGAAAAAUAUUCAGCGUUGAACGCCCCCAGAAACCAUUCCCAGGUGAUGAGAGGGGGUAAAGUGGUCUGCCUGAACUUCCACCAACGGUCAGCUUCGCCUACAAGUAGAUAUGUAACAAGAAUCAUUUUCUGCUCAGUAGUCACCCCCAAAACUCGGGAUGUCUUUUCAACUGC
RNAcentral lists this long non-coding RNA (257 nucleotides) under Carica papaya (papaya). Its description in RNAcentral is "long non-coding RNA (CPAP_LNC004832)". Lineage: Eukaryota; Viridiplantae; Streptophyta; Magnoliopsida; Brassicales; Caricaceae. The record is from RNAcentral.